RNAcentral lists this ribosomal RNA (533 nucleotides) under uncultured bacterium. Its description in RNAcentral is "bacterial SSU rRNA". It matches the Rfam family "Bacterial small subunit ribosomal RNA", at positions 777 to 1304 of the family's 1533-position model. The record is from RNAcentral.
AAUAGAUACCCAGGUAGUCCACGCCGUAAACGAUGAGUGCUAAGUGUUAGGGGGUUUCCGCCCCUUAGUGCUGCAGCUAACGCAUUAAGCACUCCGCCUGGGGAGUACGGUCGCAAGACUGAAACUCAAAGGAAUUGACAGGGGCCCGCACAAGCGGUGGAGCAUGUGGUUUAAUUCGAAGCAACGCGAAGAACCUUACCAGGUCUUGACAUCCCGCUGACCGCUAUGGAGACAUAGCUUUCCCUUCGGGGACAGCGGUGACAGGUGGUGCAUGGUUGUCGUCAGCUCGUGUCGUGAGAUGUUGGGUUAAGUCCCGCAACGAGCGCAACCCUUGUCCUUAGUUGCCAUCAUUCAGUUGGGCACUCUAAGGAGACUGCCGGCUAAAAGUCGGAGGAAGGUGGGGAUGACGUACAAAUCAUCAUCGCCCUUAUGACCGUGGGCUACACACGUGCUACAAUGGACGGUACAAACGGUUGCGAAGUCGCGAGAUGGAGCUAAUCCGAAGUAAAACCGUUCUCAGUUCGGAUUGCAGG